AUUGAACGCUGGCGGCAGGCCUAACACAUGCAAGUCGAACGGCAACAGGAAGAAGCUUGCCUCUUGGCGGAUGAGGGGCGGGCGGGUGAGAAAUGUCAGCAAGACUGCCUGAUGGGGGGGGAUAACUACUGGAAACGGUAGUAAAUACUGCAUAACGUCGCAAGACCAAAGGGGGGGACCUUCCGGCCUCUUGCCAGCGGGUGUGCCCAGAUGGGAUUAGCUAGUAGGUGGGGUAACGGCCCACCAAGGCGACGAUCGCUAGCUGGUCUGAGAGGAUGACCAGCCACACUGGAACUGAGACACGGUCCAGACUCCUACGGGAGGCAGCAGUGGGGAAUAUUGGACAAUGGGCGCAAGCCUGAUGCAGCCAUGCCGCGUGUGUGAAGAAGGCCUUCGGGUUGUAAAGUACUUUUGGCGGGGAAGAAGGGAGUGACGUUAAUACCUUUGCUCAUUGACGUUACCCGAAGAAGAAGCACCGGCUAACUACGUG
This 490-nucleotide ribosomal RNA is filed under the name uncultured bacterium. Its description in RNAcentral is "partial 16S ribosomal RNA". It matches the Rfam family "Bacterial small subunit ribosomal RNA", at positions 29 to 507 of the family's 1533-position model. The record is from RNAcentral.